This is a long non-coding RNA of Scatophagus argus, 1651 nucleotides long. RefSeq lists it as uncharacterized. The record is from RefSeq and is a predicted model, not a curated record. The transcript is spliced from 3 exons. NCBI's taxonomy places the organism in Eukaryota, Metazoa, Chordata, Actinopteri, Scatophagidae.
CGAGGGGGUCUGCGUCUGACCGGCUUCUCCUGGUGAACAAACAGACGUCAUUAAUCCGCUCUGAUGUGACGGCAGGCCGACAGCCUGAUGCCGUCUGAGUCCAGAGGACAACAGUGUCGACCUCGUCCUUUCACCACCACAGAGUGAACUGACUGGACCACAGAGGAGGAACAGAUUGAGCCACAGAGUGUGAGUCCCCAGACCCCCACGUCUCGUAGACCAAACCCCCCAGACUGAAGAGACGCCAAACCGCAUCAGACGACAGGUUUCACUUUGCUCGUUUUGUCUCUUCGGUCGUUCUUUGAGUUGGUUUGGUCCGUUCUGAAGCCGUUUGGUGUCUCUUUUCUGCUGGAUGGGUUUGUCUCCUUGCAGUCGUUUAGUGUCCUUGUGGCUGGAGUUGGUCUCUUUACAGUCAUUGUGAGUCUGUCUGUAGUCGUGUUCUCUUCACAGUUGGGAACCCCGUUGACAGUCACUUCAUACUGGGCUUUGGGGUCUGUGAUGCUGAACUCACCGUUUCAUGUCCGGCAGCAUCGGGUGGAGGAGCCGAGCUUUUGAAUCGUCCUGCCAGUUCGGCCACAGAGCGCCGGGAUGGAGUCUCGUCCUGAGGGAAGGAAAGAAGGAAGCAAGAAGGACUUAAGGAAACUUAAAACCAAAAGACCUGACGGCACCUUCAACAGGAGCGUCCUGAUGGCAUCUGAAGCAACGUUUGAUUUUAUGGUUCACUUCGCUCUGCUGCUUCGUCAUCAUAUCACAUGUGAAAAGUCAAAAAUGUUCGCUCAAGCUGAGGUAAAAUUCUGGUGAUCUUCGGCAGUUUCCUCCUCUGUGUGUAAUCCAGCCUCCAACACAGCAAAGACAACACGCACACAGCGAGCACAGACUUUAAAGAAGAGUUUUACCUCCAUCCUGCUGGUCGUCUGGCAGCGGCCUCAGUUAUGUCGAGUGUGUGAGCGCGAGUCGGCCUGCGGGUUAAAUAUAGAAGCAGCAGCCAGAGAGAGAGAGAGAGAGCAGCUCAUGUUCUGUCACAUGUCGAUCGUCCUGCAGCCUCACACUCAUUCACAAGCUCUGACUUUAAACCAGCAAGCGGUCGGACUCCAGUGAGGUGACGCAGCAGGGACGCCGGGACCUGGUCCACACAGACGUUUCACAUCAGACUGUAAAAGAGCCCCUAAAGACUCGACUCCGUCUCACGUCACGUUCACUGUCACUCCCCACUGUAACACAGCACUGCGCUGCACUUGCAAAUAUACAGUGUGUGUAUAUUCUGUGUUUAGUAUGUCAUGUUGCAGCCUACUUGUGUGUGUGAAUAUUUUGUUCUUAUUGUUUAUUUUGCCGUUGGUACUAUUGCAUUGCAUUGUAGCAUACUGUGUUUAUUGUCUUGUUGUUUAGACUGUUAUUGUACUGUUGUAUUUUGUGUUGUUUAAAAUGGGUGUAUUUUUGGCUUUAUUUUUUUUCCUUUAUACUCAUGUCUUUAUACUCAUGUAUGUACUCAGUUUGUGUACUCCUUUAUGCAGCAUGUGGCAUCCUGGAAGAACGUUGUUUCAUUGCUCUGCGUGCUACACAAACACGCUUGUGAUGACCUUUUUCUUUCCUGAGAUGCUGCAACACUUGAAUUUCCCUUCUGGAGAUCAAUAAAGGAUUUUCUUGUCUUAAA